This 290-nucleotide long non-coding RNA is filed under the name Elaeis guineensis (African oil palm). Its description in RNAcentral is "long non-coding RNA (EGUI_LNC067492)". The record is from RNAcentral. Lineage: Eukaryota; Viridiplantae; Streptophyta; Magnoliopsida; Arecales; Arecaceae.
AAGACAAUCAAUUCAUAUGGCAUGCAAUGACCUAUACUCGAUAAUGCUAUCAUCCUAUUAAUAGCAUAUCAUUUGGUCGUGAAUAUUUUUAAGGACUUAAUGAUAAAUCCUCCUUUGUCGAUUAAUUAUAGUCCUAAGGACUUCAUUAUAAUAAAGAAGUUCAAAAAUAGAUAAUUUGUAAUGAAAAUAUCAAAUAAUUUUUUUAAUAAAAAAUUAUAUACAAUUUACAAGAUGAGCAUAAUUGUCUAAUGAUUGAAUUUGGGACAUAUUUUCCAACAACCUCCCACCCC